This 572-nucleotide ribosomal RNA is filed under the name Debaryomyces hansenii. RNAcentral's name for it is "partial large subunit ribosomal RNA". It matches the Rfam family "Eukaryotic large subunit ribosomal RNA", at positions 63 to 652 of the family's 3401-position model. The record is from RNAcentral. Lineage: Eukaryota; Fungi; Ascomycota; Pichiomycetes; Serinales; Debaryomycetaceae.
UACCCCGGGAUGGCCUUAAGUAACCGUAAGUGAAGCGGCAAAAGCUCAAAUUUGAAAUCUGGCACCUUCGGUGUCCGAGUUGUAAUUUGAAGAAGGUAACUUUGGAGUUGGCUCUUGUCUAUGUUCCUUGGAACAGGACGUCACAGAGGGUGAGAAUCCCGUGCGAUGAGAUGCCCAAUUCUAUGUAAAGUGCUUUCGAAGAGUCGAGUUGUUUGGGAAUGCAGCUCUAAGUGGGUGGUAAAUUCCAUCUAAAGCUAAAUAUUGGCGAGAGACCGAUAGCGAACAAGUACAGUGAUGGAAAGAUGAAAAGAACUUUGAAAAGAGAGUGAAAAAGUACGUGAAAUUGUUGAAAGGGAAGGGCUUGAGAUCAGACUUGGUAUUUUGCGAUCCUUUCCUUCUUGGUUGGGUUCCUCGCAGCUUACUGGGCCAGCAUCGGUUUGGAUGGUAGGAUAAUGACUAAGGAAUGUGGCUCUACUUCGGUGGAGUGUUAUAGCCUUGGUUGAUACUGCCUGUCUAGACCGAGGACUGCGUCUUUGACUAGGAUGUUGGCAUAAUGAUCUUAAGCCACCCGU